This 434-nucleotide ribosomal RNA is filed under the name uncultured bacterium. Its description in RNAcentral is "partial 16S ribosomal RNA". It matches the Rfam family "Bacterial small subunit ribosomal RNA", at positions 29 to 507 of the family's 1533-position model. The record is from RNAcentral.
AGCGAACGCUGGCGGCAGGCCUAACACAUGCAAGUCGAACGAACCUUUCGGGGUUAGUGGCGGACGGGUGAGUAACACGUGGGAACGUGCCUUUAGGUUCGGAAUAACUCAGGGAAACUUGUGCUAAUACCGAAUGUGCCCUUCGGGGGAAAGAUUAAUCGCCUUUAGAGCGGCCCGCGUCUGAUUAGCUAGUUGGUUGAGGUAAUGGCUCACCAAGGCGACGAUCAGUAGCUGGUCUGAGAGGAUGAUCAGCCACAUUGGGACUGAGACACGGCCCAAACUCCUACGGGAGGCAGCAGUGGGGAAUCUCGCGCAAUGGGCGAAAGCCUGACGCAGCCAUGCCGCGUGAAUGAUGAAGGUCUUAGGAUUGUAAAAUUCUUUCACCGGGGACGAUAAUGACGGUACCCGGAGAAGAAGCCCCGGCUAACUUCGUG